AUGUCGGAGGACGCCAGGUUCAGCAUGAGACACAGGGUAAAGUUGGGGUAUUGGGCCACGCUGCUCAGUUUGACCACCAGAACAGCUAUGUUACCAGGGAGGCCCAGCACACAUUACAGCCCCAGGACGAUGUUCGAAAUCAGGCGACCUGAAUCCAGGGAGGUGGGGUCCAUGCUGGAUGUGCUGGAGGAGUUCAGAGUGAUAAUAUGUUUUUGUCCAGCCAGUCAAUCAGAAUCUAUCACUGUGGUGGACUUUCUGAGUGUUGGCAGUGAUGUUCGUCCCACCCUGACAGUCCUGCCCCCCUCCAGUGUGGAGCUGCAGCAGGGGAAGGCCACUCUCAUGUGCCUGGCCAACAAGGGCUUCCCCUCAGACUGGAAGCUGAGCUGGAAGGUGGACGGCAGCAGCAGCAACACCUGGGAGGUGACCGGGAACCCCGGGGUCCUGGAGAAGGACGGCCACUACAGCUGGAGCAGCACCCUGACCCUCCCUGUCGACCAGUGGAAGAAGGUGGGCUCUGUGACCUGUGAGGCCACCCAGGGCUCCCAGUCUCCUCUCUCUGAGACACUGAGGAGAGACCAGUGUUCUGAUUAAUGAGCUCCCCCCUCUGACUCCACUGUUUUUACUCUGCACCUCUCCUUCUUACUGUUCCAGCAAUAGCAGCACACUGAUCUAAUGCUGGGCUGGAUCCUGUGUGGGAAUCCUUCCUCCAGCUGGAGCUUUUAUCAUAGUGGAACAAAGAACAGAACACAUGUCUGAUUCUGAUGUCAAGUAGAUCUGCUUGGCUUUCAUAUCACAAGUGUUCUGAACCUUAUUACUAGAAUGCUGUUGGUUCUGACAUGUUGAGAUAAUAAAGACGUUCAAAAUUUUAAA
This is a non-coding RNA of Oncorhynchus mykiss (rainbow trout), 870 nucleotides long. Lineage: Eukaryota; Metazoa; Chordata; Actinopteri; Salmoniformes; Salmonidae. The record is from the annotation of a RefSeq genome assembly.